ACCAGUACCGUGAGGGAAAGGCGAAAAGAACCCCGGCGAGGGGAGUGAAAAAGAACCUGAAACCGUGUACGUACAAGCAGUGGGAGCACCCUUUGGGGUGUGACUGCGUACCUUUUGUAUAAUGGGUCAGCGACUUAUAUUCUGUAGCAAGGUUAACCGAAUAGGGGAGCCGGAGGGAAACCGAGUCUUAAUUGGGCGUUAAGUUGCAGGGUAUAGACCCGAAACCCGGUGAUCUAGCCAUGGGCAGGUUGAAGGUUGGGUAACACUAACUGGAGGACCGAACCGACUAAUGUUGAAAAAUUAGCGGAUGACCUGUGGCUGGGGGUGAAAGGCCAAUCAAACCGGGAGAUAGCUGGUUCUCCCCGAAAGCUAUUUAGGUAGCGCCUCGUGAAUUCAUCUCCGGGGGUAGAGCACUGUUUCGGCUAGGGGGCCAUCCCGGCUUACCAACCCGAUGCAAACUGCGAAUACCGGAGAAUGUUAUCACGGGAGACACACGGCGGGUGCUAACGUCCGUCGUGAAGAGGGAAACAACCCAGACCGCCAGCUAAGGUCCCAAAGUCAUGGUUAAGUGGGAAACGAUGUGGGAAGGCCCAGACAGCCAGGAUGUUGGCUUAGAAGCAGCCAUCAUUUAAAGAAAGCGUAAUAGCUCACUGGUCGAGUCGGCCUGCGCGGAAGAUGUAACGGGGCUAAACCAUGCACCGAAGCUGCGGCAGCGACGCUGAUGCGUUGUUGGGUAGGGGAGCGUUCUGUAAGCCUGCGAAGGUGUGUCGUGAGGCAUGCUGGAGGUAUCAGAAGUGCGAAUGCUGACAUAAGUAACGAUAAAGCGGGUGAAAAGCCCGCUCGCCGGAAGACCAAGGGUUCCUGUCCAACGUUAAUCGGGGCAGGGUGAGUCGACCCCUAAGGCGAGGCCGAAAGGCGUAGUCGAUGGGAAACGGGUUAAUAUUCCCGUACUUGGUGUUACUGCGAAGGGGGGACGGAGAAGGCUAUGUUGGCCGGGCGACGGUUGUCCCGGUUUAAGCGUGUAGGUGUGUGUUCCAGGUAAAUCCGGUUCACUUUAACACUGAGGCGUGAUGACGAGGCACUACGGUGCUGAAGCAACAAAUGCCCUGCUUCCAGGAAAAGCCUCUAAGCAUCAGGUAACAUCAAAUCGUACCCCAAACCGACACAGGUGGUCAGGUAGAGAAUACCAAGGCGCUUGAGAGAACUCGGGUGAAGGAACUAGGCAAAAUGGUGCCGUAACUUCGGGAGAAGGCACGCUGACACGUAGGUGAAGUGAUUUACUCAUGGAGCUGAAGUCAGUCGAAGAUACCAGCUGGCUGCAACUGUUUAUUAAAAACACAGCACUGUGCAAACACGAAAGUGGACGUAUACGGUGUGACGCCUGCCCGGUGCCGGAAGGUUAAUUGAUGGGGUCAGCGCAAGCGAAGCUCCUGAUCGAAGCCCCGGUAAACGGCGGCCGUAACUAUAACGGUCCUAAGGUAGCGAAAUUCCUUGUCGGGUAAGUUCCGACCUGCACGAAUGGCGUAAUGAUGGCCAGGCUGUCUCCACCCGAGACUCAGUGAAAUUGAACUCGCUGUGAAGAUGCAGUGUACCCGCGGCAAGACGGAAAGACCCCGUGAACCUUUACUAUAGCUUGACACUGAACAUUGAGCCUUGAUGUGUAGGAUAGGUGGGAGGCUUUGAAGUGUGGACGCCAGUCUGCAUGGAGCCGGCCUUGAAAUACCACCCUUUAAUGUUUGAUGUUCUAACGUGGACCCGUGAUCCGGGUUGCGGACAGUGUCUGGUGGGUAGUUUGACUGGGGCGGUCUCCUCCUAAAGAGUAACGGAGGAGCACGAAGGUUGGCUAAUCCUGGUCGGACAUCAGGAGGUUAGUGCAAUGGCAUAAGCCAGCUUGACUGCGAGCGUGACGGCGCGAGCAGGUGCGAAAGCAGGUCAUAGUGAUCCGGUGGUUCUGAAUGGAAGGGCCAUCGCUCAACGGAUAAAAGGUACUCCGGGGAUAACAGGCUGAUACCGCCCAAGAGUUCAUAUCGACGGCGGUGUUUGGCACCUCGAUGUCGGCUCAUCACAUCCUGG
This 2073-nucleotide ribosomal RNA is filed under the name Salmonella enterica subsp. enterica serovar Johannesburg. Its description in RNAcentral is "partial 23S ribosomal RNA". It matches the Rfam family "Bacterial large subunit ribosomal RNA", at positions 494 to 2550 of the family's 2925-position model. Lineage: Bacteria; Pseudomonadati; Pseudomonadota; Gammaproteobacteria; Enterobacterales; Enterobacteriaceae. The record is from RNAcentral.